GCCUCCUCCCGCGUCUUGGCCCGCAAGAGUCCCGGGGGUCCGCCCGCAGCUGGCUAAGCGCUAGCCCGGCCUGUGGCGAGUCUGCAGAGCUCGCCCGGAAGUAGCGUUGCGCGCGCAGAGGAUGGGCGCUGAGCAGCACACAGCCCGCGGCGGGGUCUCAGGAUCCGCGGCGCUGCCCGGGGCCGGGGGAAGGAAGCCAGCCGAGGAGACGCACGUGCCCUGAGUCCGGGAGCGGGGAGCCUCUUCAUCUCUCCAUCCUCCCUCCGCGCGCGCCCUCAGCCGUCCUCGUCCGCUCACCAUGCACCUCCCCUCCAAGAAAGGGCCACAUGCGUGCCAGGGACGCGAGCCCCGGCCACAGGGACAUAGCAGCCUAGAAGCAGGAAGAUCAGCAAACACAGGUUCGAAACAGGAAAGCACUGAACACCCGAUGGCUGCCUGAGAGAAACGUCCCAGGACACACUGACCCACGUGACAGCACGUGCCACUCAGACGAGGUGUCAGCAACGGAGACAGAAUGAGGAAACGGAGACCAAGGUGACGUCGGCAGUGGCCGCUGAUGCCUGCUCCAGGUGGGGUGGUGGUGGCCAUGGGCUCUGCGAAUCCCAGGCUCAAUGGCAACACUGAGGUGGGAGGAGGGGAAGGGACACUUGCUGGUGUCUGGCUUUCCUCUUGGGCAUCAGCUUCCAGCCCUUCAGCCUCAGCUCACCAACUUCCAUGGGUGGGCCCUGCUUGACUCCCCCAGCCUGUCAGCGUGUCGCCUCCCCUCUGCCACCCUGGGCUGCUUCACAACUCAGGACCGGAUGUGAGCUAUUAGGGAACCAGGCUUCCUGAUUUCCAGAGGCCAUCAGUGUGGAAGGGUGCAGGCCUGGGAGCCACCUUUGUGAGCAGGCAGGGAGAGCAGGUGGGAGUGUGAAGCCAGCACCGAGGAAGGAAGCAGAGCUGGGAAACGGUGUUAAGGGACAUGCGUGCAUGCGCGCGGUCCACGGCCUAGGCUCUGCCUUUGGGCCCUACCCACCGACUGUGUAUGUGAGCCCCCACAUUUGCAUUUAACAAUUUAACACCAGGCACCUGUCUCCUGCAGUGAUGCAGGCUCGGGACCUCCAGAGCAGCGGGCAGGAUGACGCCCUGAACCUGCACUUCAUCUCCUGGCUGCUUUAUUCUGUCAAUUGACUUCUGUAAUACAAUUUCCAUAUGGUGACACUGCCUUCCAAAACAGUUAGAGCUUAUUCUCAGUAUUCUUCAUUGGCAGUGGAAAAUGCUUCAGUACUUUAUUGAAAGAAAGCAAUAAAUAAUACUGUGAUAAAAAUA
Molecule: long non-coding RNA, 1308 nt
Filed under: Homo sapiens (human)
Lineage: Eukaryota; Metazoa; Chordata; Mammalia; Primates; Hominidae
Description: HSALNT0177766
Source: RNAcentral